Long non-coding RNA from Megalobrama amblycephala (Wuchang bream), 1455 nucleotides. RefSeq lists it as uncharacterized. Lineage: Eukaryota; Metazoa; Chordata; Actinopteri; Cypriniformes; Xenocyprididae. The transcript has 3 exons. The record is from RefSeq and is a predicted model, not a curated record.
AUAAUCUCUGAAAUAACGCGGCGGAGGGAAAAACGGGAGGGGAAAAAAAUCACCUGUAUCCCACAUUUACAGUGCAUUUAAAAGGGGCCACACACAUAUUUAGGCACUGGAACGCUACUAAGACUUGAUAGUUGGGUUAUUUUUAAUUCAGGGUGGUAAGCAACUGCCCAGAACAAGAGCUUUAGCAUAUUCUGGUAAAGUUGACUCCAACUCCAACGUCGUGACGGCCCUAUCCGAGCUCCACUAAUGACAAACUGGAAAUAACUCAUUUCAAGGCCAAUGUCAGGACUGCCGGCCACUCCACAGUCUACACACAUAUUGAGGUCAUCAACCAAAGACCACCGGUGGAAGAAAUCAUCAUCAAUGGCCUGUCCGAUGUCAACGGUGAAAUGCUCACGCUCACUGAAGACAUCUCCUGACCUGUCUGAUGAGACCGUGGACUCAACUUCCACUACACUUGGAGGUCAAAUACAGCUACAGAAAAAAUUUAUAACCCACAUUAAAUUAAUGCAAAUUAAUGAAAUUUAAGUUGUCCAUUCUAAGUCAAUAACAUGCUUUAGUGUUAGUGGUCUUAGAUUUUUUUUUCUUAUGUUUUCAUGAGAUUAUAUCAAAGAUAUUUAGUUUUGAUAUAUGUCUUACACGUAUUGUGUUGGACAUAAGACAUAACAUAUAGGACUGUUAGAAGAUAACAAGCUGAGUGUCCAUUCUCUGAGUCAAUGUUUUUUCCAGUAAUAGUGCUCUUUGCACUGAUAUUUUCACUAAAUGAGCAAAGCUAGACAUCCCCAUACAAUAGACAAUAGACAGUUUUCAUUUGGGGAGUUAUUGUUUAGCGUGCCAAAUGUCUGUUAAAUUGAUUUUUGGAGUUCAUAUAGUCUCCUGUUUGAACUGUUACCAUUUUUCCUUCCAUUUUCACUUGGGAGUCAUCCUUUAAGAAUCCAAAGCUGCUAUUUUUGAGAAUCCUCAGCAGAACUUUUUUUCCCUCUAUAUUUUUCUAUUUUUUUACAUUUUGUAUGUAUCUCUCGCAUUCUUUUUCAUGAUCUUAAAGAUAGAAACAUUGCCCUAUUUGGUCUGGUUUAAAUAUAUUUCAUAUACUUACUCAAAACUUAAUUCACCCUUAUAUGGACAAUUAACUGCCUUAUAUUGGUUGGAUUAUAUACGAACAUUUAGAAGUCUCACAGAAAUGUUAUGCGAACGCCAGUCUUAAAUUUUGAUGCCUGUACAGAGAAAUAGAAUUGUCCGCUAAAGCUUGAGAUGCACUGUUCUGUAUGUUGUCUGAUAACAUGCACUAAUUAGCUAGGAAUUAUGACCUAAUAAUGAUUUUUUUACUGAAUUUAAAUAAUUGAUAAAUAUUUAAUUUUUUUUUUUUUUUUUAUAAUGCAUUAAAUAAUGUACAGAUAUUUCUUAAUUUAAUGCAUAAUUGUUAAAAUAUUGAAUAGUUUUAUGCAUUCAAUUAUA